GUUCGUGGUAAGUUAUUAACAGUGUUCAUCGCCUCACUUGUAAACAUUAAGUCGACCAAAAUGUGUUAAUUAAAAUACAAACUUGGAGGAUUUAAUACUUCACUACGUCACUUUUAUGGCUCCAAUUGGUUGUUACUGUAGUGUUAAGACAACUACCAUAUUGCUGCCUCGCUGAUCAUGGUUAAUUAAGUUCCUCGUGUCAUUCGUCGAGGACGGUGACGUGAAGAUGUAAAAUAUGGGCCACAAGACGAAGGUUUGUUUUGGUUAACGGGUCUCUUGCUGCACCACAUUGGAAACUUUCUGUUAUAAUAUAAGGAACA
This 320-nucleotide long non-coding RNA is filed under the name Homarus americanus (American lobster). RNAcentral's name for it is "uncharacterized LOC121870044". Lineage: Eukaryota; Metazoa; Arthropoda; Malacostraca; Decapoda; Nephropidae. The record is from RNAcentral.